Molecule: ribosomal RNA, 251 nt
Filed under: uncultured bacterium
Lineage: Bacteria
Description: partial 16S ribosomal RNA
Rfam family: Bacterial small subunit ribosomal RNA
Source: RNAcentral
GAUCCUGGCUCAGGACGAACGCUGGCGGCGUGCCUAACACAUGCAAGUCGAACGGAAGUUAGAGCUUCGGUUUUAACUUUAGUGGCGAACGGGUGAGUAACGCGUGAGGAACCUGCCUUUCAGUGGGGGACGAACAGUUGGAAACGACUGCUAAUACCGCAUGACACUUUUGGGAGACAUCUCCUGGAAGUCAAAGCUUUAUGUGCUGAAAGAUGGCCUCGCGUCUGAUUAGCUGGUUGGUGAGGUAACGG